CCCCCCUCCCCUCCCCUCCCCCUGCUCCUGCUACGUGCAGGGUAGGGCUGGGGCAGCACCAGCAGCAAUUAGCCCAGCUCAGCCACCCGUUACUGGAACCUUCGUGUCAACUCUGGAGCUGAUCCAGGAAACCACACCCAGAGUCCCGGAUGACUCAGCCUCACCUGCCCACUCCACACCUGCCAGCCCCAGUGACCCGAGCCCGGCCGGAGCGAGAGCCCCAGCGUCCCCUGACCCGUCCUCCUCGGCCCGACCUGAACUGUGUCUUCUCAGGACCCUGUGGAGUCACUCACCUGCCCGGCAUCCCUCUGAGGCGUCCGCAGUGCUCACCGCGUCUGCUCAGGUUCUCCAUUUGUUCGUGCUCAUUCACUUUUCCACUAGAACCUUUAACGUCUGACAACCUUUGUGUCCAGGAACGUGUAUCCAACCAGUAUCCAAGAACCUGGUUCUAUUGCUCUGUGCGGCCCCGUGGACUGAGGCGCUCCGGGCCGCCCUGCCCUUCACCGUCUGUGAGACCCCGUGGACUGAGGCGCUCCGGGCCGCCCUGCCCUUCACCGUCUGUGAGACCCCGUGGACUGAGGCGCUCCGGGCCGCCCUGCCCUUCACCGUCUGUGCAGCCCCGUGGACUGAGGCGCUCCGGGCCGCCCUGCCCUUCACCGUCUGUGCGGCCCCGUGGACUGAGGCGCUCCGGGCCGCCCUGCCCUUCACCGUCUGUGAGACCCCGUGGACUGAGGCGCUCCGGGCCGCCCUGUCCUUCACCGUCGCCCAGGGUUUGCUCAAGUUCACGUCCACUGAUGGCAUCUGACCGUCUCAACCUCCGUCGCCUGCUUCUCCUCCCGCCUUCAAUCCUUCCCAGCAUCAGGGUCUUUUCUAAUGAGUCGGCUCUUCACAUCAGGUGGCCAAAGUGUUGGAGCUUCAGCUUCAGCAUCAGUCCUUCCCGUCAAUAUUCAGG
Molecule: long non-coding RNA, 952 nt
Organism: Bos taurus (domestic cattle)
Lineage: Eukaryota; Metazoa; Chordata; Mammalia; Artiodactyla; Bovidae
Source: Ensembl